Molecule: long non-coding RNA, 1345 nt
Organism: Papaver somniferum (opium poppy)
Lineage: Eukaryota; Viridiplantae; Streptophyta; Magnoliopsida; Ranunculales; Papaveraceae
Exons: 5
Source: RefSeq, a predicted model, not a curated record
UUCAUUUACAUCUCCCACUCAACCCUUAACCCCAAUAUCUCUAUGGAACUGACGAGCAGAAAAAGAAAAAAAAAGGGGAAAAAAGCCUCGGAAUUUCAGAACCCCUGUUUGAUUUGAUCGAUCCUCUCAAAUUUAUAUCUGCCCAAUCACAAUAUCAAUAGAUUCAGGUUAGAUAAUUUCGACCAAAAUAGACAUGAAUUCCUGCAUAGCUUUUGCGUGAGUCAACAAAAUGGUUUUCAAUCAUUUCUUACUCAAUCAAUACCCAUGCAAGAUCAUUUUUGGCUUAAUUUAUCUAAUAUUUGGUUUGAUAAGGACCUUACCAGAAUAGAGAAUCUGUUACCAAAUAAGGGGGUGGCCUAAACUAGAUAUGGGGUGUGGUUCACGUAGGCAGAUGAAGAGGAACCAAUAGUUGUGGUAUCAAAGGGGAUCUAUUUGAAGAAUGGAAGUUGGAAAGUGUCUAUUAGUUCCACUUCAAUUAAACACAAAAUUUACUGCACGGCUGCACCUACACGGUAUAUAAAUCAGGUUCGCUAAGGGAACUCAAUUGGAUAAUGAGACUGCGUCCUACGCUCGGGGAAGAUGACGAGGUUAUGAAAAACAUCACCAGAAGUUGGGUAAUACUUACCUUUUCAGCUUAUUGAAAUGGAGAAUGAUAUGACGGAAAAAAUGGACCUGAUGGAAGCAAUGGAAUUUGAGCAAGCAUGCUUAAUCGAAGAGUUGGAUAUUCUAUGAAAGGAGAAUUCACAAAUAUUUAGAAUUAUUGAGGAAUGGAGAAUUUGCAGCAGGUUUAAUUGGAGACGGCUAAAACAAUUCUAGACUUACAAGACAACUUCACCACACUACAACGGGAACUCCGGGAGAUAAUAUCUUAGGGAAGAAGAAAAUAUGUGACCUGGAAACAGUUUAGCUACAAAAAAAUAUAAAAUCGAGACACUGACGGAGGAAUGAGAGAAAGCGACCCUAGAACUAACCAACCUUCAUUGCAGGUGGUUGUAGAUCCCUUGAGGAUGGUUACCGAUCAGGUGCAGUUAAUAGCAAAUUCUUUCAGAAAGUAAACUUUGGAUUACUGAACAUGUAAGAUAGCUGCGAAAAGUCGUUUAAGGAAAAAAAAAACAAACAAUCGAACAACUACAACAAAGCCUAAGAGAUGCACUGAAACUUGGGUUGCAUAUGAAAAUGAAAUUGAGCCCCUUGAAGGAGGAAAAACCGACCACAACUGAUGUUAAUAUUUUUGUUACAUUUAUAACUGACUGAGACGAUUAACAUGUAGUAUAAGGAAGUGAUUUUUAAUGCAGAAUAACGUGUUGAUGUUGCAUUAGUAAUUGUGAAGAGGUUUUACUGUUUU